This 72-nucleotide transfer RNA is filed under the name Pseudogymnoascus sp. VKM F-3808. It matches the Rfam family "tRNA". Rfam says of the family: Transfer RNA (tRNA) molecules are approximately 80 nucleotides in length. Their secondary structure includes four short double-helical elements and three loops (D, anti-codon, and T loops). The record is from Rfam by way of RNAcentral. Lineage: Eukaryota; Fungi; Ascomycota; Leotiomycetes; Thelebolales; Thelebolaceae.
GGCCUGUAGGCCUAAUAGCAAGGCGCUUGACUACGAAUUAAGGGAAUGCAGGUUAGAUCCUUGCGUAGAUCU